UCGGAUUUUACAUUAUUUAAGUUACACAGUUAAGGUAGACAAAGUUGAGUUGAGGUAGUAAAACAAAGUUACAAUAAAAAUUAGAAAUAUAUAAAAUAUAAAAUAUCCAUGGUCAACAAUGCGUAGAUGUGUAUGUGUAAUUUUGUGAGUGUGUAUGCCUGUGUAUUUGUAUGUAAGUGGGUGUGGGUAUGGAUAAGUGACUGUCUAGAUUAUUCAUAUGUG
RNAcentral lists this unclassified non-coding RNA (222 nucleotides) under Melitaea cinxia (Glanville fritillary). RNAcentral describes it as "misc RNA ENSMCXG00005002484.1". The record is from RNAcentral. Lineage: Eukaryota; Metazoa; Arthropoda; Insecta; Lepidoptera; Nymphalidae.